GAUAAAUGGCAACAAGCUAGGACAAUGGGAACUCCUUCAGUCAUAAAUGGGAAAAAACCACUUAAUCUCACCUAGACCAAAAUUAAAGUAGGAUGGGGGGAAGAUGGGGCUCACUGAUUCAGAACUGCAAAGAGCAGAUGGGUCCAAAGUCUGAGAACAAUGUUACCGAUACUGCUCUCUCUUCUUAUCCAGUCCUUUUUCUCCUUCUGUGUUAGCUAUGUUCUCCCAGAACUUUCCAAACACCAGUGAAUAUGACUACUAACACUUCCACGGUCACAAAUUGAAAGUUGUAUUCCCAGAGAAGAGCAGGGACUCUUUCUCCUCCAAUUCAGAAGGGCCCUGGCAAGAGUCUAAUUGCCUAGUUUGGGUCACAUAGGGUCAUGUGCUGGAAUCAGUUAGUACCAGCUCCCAAUUCAACAUAUAGCUUGGUUGCUUAGGAUGCUGGUGAUGGUGAGGAUUUGUAUGUAUACCAUAAAAAUCAGCAAAUGUCACAAAUCAGGGCUCUUCUUAACAUUGUUGUUAAGUAUUUAUCAGCACAUCAUUUUGUGUGUCAGGGAAUGCUACACCAUGAUUGAUCCAGGCUGGGUCCUGAGGCAACCUGUCCUGAGCAGCCUCUUAUGAACUUUAUGGUGCAGAGGAGAGUCUCCAGUCAGUGAGUCAGCACUGUUUUCAGAAUUGGAGAGGUGCUGGGCAGAAGAGACCAGCUCAGAAGUUCAUUAUAGGGAAUGAAGGAGAGGGAGGCAUCUAAUAGCCCAGAUCUUGGGGAACUAGGUGAAUGCUGAGUGGAGAUCUGGAGGGAAAUGAUGAGUUUAGCUAUGAACAUGAAGGGUCUGAACAUCUACUAUUGUAAGCAAGGCAAAAUUCCCCUCAAGAAACACACUCUAACAAGCAAGAUGGUAAAUAAUGGGAAAGAGCUGUCCUACAAGGCCUAAUGUAAAUGCCACUGAAGGACACAAACCACACACCUGGACAUUACCUGCUGCUUCAAAUUGUAGGUCCCUGCACUGCUCCUGGCUCUUUGCCAUACCCAGGAAGGUGCUUACUCUACAAAGGGAUUCCACACACACCACACCUGCCCAGGACAGGUGGACAGAAGGAAGACCGUGAGACAGGGCUGUAGUCUACUUAGGGAGAACUUACAACCCCUGUCUUGGUGAAUGAGGAAAAGAAGGCAAAUUGCAUACAGCUGUCAAUGUGAUGUAAGGGAAGGAAGAUUCAUUCUCCGGGAUCCUGGAGAUCCAGAUUCAAGUCCCAAAUCUUCUGCUCAGCAGCAUAAAUAACUGCUCUGAGAGCUUAAUAGCAGGACUACUGUGGGAGGCAGAAUCACGACACAAAAGAUGUCCACACGCUAGCCAUGGACCCCGUGAACAGGUCACUUUAUAUGGCAAAGGGCUUUUGUACAUGUGAUUAAGGUAAAGACCUUGAAAUGGGAAGAUUAUCUUGGAUUAUCCAAGUGGGCCCAAUGCAUCCUUUUAAGUGAAAGAGGAAGGCAGGAGAGUCAGAGAAGGAAUGAUGAGAUUGCUGACUGGGGCCACAGACCAAGGAGUGUGGGCAUUCUAGAAGAAGUUUCUAGAAGCUGAAACAGGCGAGAAACAGAUUCUUCCCCCAGAGCCUCCAGAAGGAACCCAGCUCUGCUGAUACCUCAAUUUUAGCCCUGUGAGACCCCACUGCACUUCUGAUCACCAGAACUAUAGGAUGAUAAAUCGGUGUUAUUUUAAGCCACUGAGUUUGUUUUAUCUGUUACAGCAAUAGUAGGACACAAACACAGCUCCUAAAGACAUUUGAGAAACCUUAGCCAUGCCUGGACCAGGGUGUUCUCAGACCAAGCUGAGCUGGGGGUGCUGAUAAUGAGGAGGAGUUCAUGCCAAAGUUAUUGAACCCAUAUGGUGGCCCAUAGUCAUGCUGUGUUCUGUGCUUCUUUAAGACUGACAAGAUUGGGAUCCCUGGGUGGCGCAGCGGUUUGGCGCCUGCCUUUGGCCCGGGGCACGAUCCUGGAGACCCGGGAUCGAAUCCCACGUCGGGCUCCCGGUGCAUGGAGCCUGCUUCUCCCUCUGCCUGUGUCUCUGCCUCUCUCUCUCUCUCUGUGACUAUCAUAAAUAAAUAAAAAUUAAAAAAAUUAAAAAAAAAAAAAAA
RNAcentral lists this long non-coding RNA (2133 nucleotides) under Canis lupus familiaris (dog). Its description in RNAcentral is "lncRNA (ENSCAFG00000056143.1)". Lineage: Eukaryota; Metazoa; Chordata; Mammalia; Carnivora; Canidae. The record is from RNAcentral.